CCUCCGGGAUUCAUCCUUUAUUAAUAUUUUUCAAUUUACUAUAUUCUUAACCAUCCAAUUAUCUUGAAUGAUGACUUCCCUAUGUUUUUUAAACUUCUUUUAUAAAGGAAUAAAACGAGGCACGUGUGCCUUUUUGCAUGUACUUUAUGAAUAAGGAUCGGCUAACUCCGUGCCAGCAGCCGCGGUAAUACGGAGGAUCCGAGCGUUAUCCGGAUUUAUUGGGUUUAAAGGGAGCGUAGAUGGGUUGUUAAGUCAGUUGUGAAAGUUUGCGGCUCAACCGUAAAAUUGCAAUUGAUACUGGCAGUCUUGAGUACAGUUGAGGUAGGCGGAAUUCGUGGUGUAGCGGUGAAAUGCUUAGAUAUCACGAAGAACCCCGAUUGCGAAGGCAGCUUACUAAACUGUGACUGACAUUGAUGCUCGAAAGUGUGGGUAUCAAACAGGAUUAGAUACCCGAGUAGUC
RNAcentral lists this ribosomal RNA (460 nucleotides) under uncultured bacterium. RNAcentral describes it as "partial 16S ribosomal RNA". It matches the Rfam family "Bacterial small subunit ribosomal RNA", at positions 338 to 795 of the family's 1533-position model. The record is from RNAcentral.